UCCUGAUCCACAGAUCCUGUAUUGGGAAGCUAUUGGAGAGUUUUGAACAGCUGAUGUUAUUUUCCAAAACAAUGACUCUGCUGGCUACAUGGACACAGGCUUGCAGGGAGGGAGGCAGGGGCAGAAAUCCCAUUGGCAAACAAAGUGGCAUCCGAAAUGUCACACACACACACACACACACACACACACACACACACACCCCAAAUCCUGUUUCCUCCACAUACCUUAAAAUGGAAGCAGUGCCAUUGGAAGAAGCACUGCUCUCAGGCUCAGGAGAAGACCCAGUCUUUCAAAGACUCCUUUGGGAAUGUCCAGACUUCCCACUUCAGACAGUGGCCCUUCUGCCAUCCACAGCUGGACGUCCUUGAUUCCCCAUUAGUCCUCACUCCAUACAGCCAGCGCACCGGCUCUGCCAUGUGUCCUAGUCAACCCACCUCUCUCCACCCCUUCUCAGCCCUGGCCCCCCUUCCCUCUCACCACAGCUCCAGCAUCCAUCUCCUUAGGAGGCUUCUUGCUUCCACUCCUGCCCCUGCAAUCCUGUGUCCACACAGCCACGGAGUCACCAAGAUGUGAAGAGGCAAAGUCACUGGCUCCACACCCACAGCUGGCCAGCAGGGAACAGUCGACCCCCGACACGAAGCGGCUUUUCUCACAGCUACUCGAGCGCGAAUCGCAGGGUGGCACUCAGGGGUAUUCCCCAGGAAUAAAACAUAACUAUCUUAAAGUUUAUGAAGUAAUUGGCACCUUAAGAUGGAAUAUUUUUGGU
RNAcentral lists this long non-coding RNA (766 nucleotides) under Homo sapiens (human). Its description in RNAcentral is "PAQR5 divergent transcript". The record is from RNAcentral. Lineage: Eukaryota; Metazoa; Chordata; Mammalia; Primates; Hominidae.